This 740-nucleotide long non-coding RNA is filed under the name Salmo salar (Atlantic salmon). RNAcentral describes it as "lncRNA (ENSSSAG00000106494.1)". Lineage: Eukaryota; Metazoa; Chordata; Actinopteri; Salmoniformes; Salmonidae. The record is from RNAcentral.
UCAGGACGUGAACUGGGUCUGUUGUGGCUGCCCUGCUAGUCUAUGGCCACUAGGAGCAUGAUGAAGACUGCACGGAUGAAGCGACUAUAGGAGUAUGGAAAAGAGGUCAUGGGUAGAGGAACAGUGGAUGUGAAGUAGAUAUUAAGGCCAAGGUUAGGCUUGUGGUUGAGGCUAGGGUUAGGGUUGAACAGGGAUGUGAAAUGAAGCCAGGGUUAGGGUUGUGGUUGAGGCUAGGGUUAUGGUUGAAUCAGGAUGUUGAUGUGAAGCUAGGAUUAUGGUUGAACCGGAAUGCUGACAUGAAGCUGGGGUUAGGGUUGAACCGGGAUGUACCAUGAAGCUAGGGUUAGGGUUGAACCGGGAUGUUGACAUGAAGCUAGGGUUAGGGUUGAACCGGGAUGUGGACAUGAUGCUAGGGUUAGGGUUGAAGCGGGAUGUUGACAUGAUGCUAGGGUUAGGGUUGAAGCGGGAUGUUGACAUGAAGCUAGGGGUAGGGUUGAACCGGGAUGUGUCAUGAAGCUAGGGUUAGGGUUGAACCGGGAUGUGCCAUGAAGCUAGGGUUAGGGUUGAACCGGGAUGUUGACAUGAAGCUAGGGUUAGGGUUGAACCGGGAUGUGCCAUGAAGCUAGGGUUAGGGUUGAACCGGGAUGUUGACAUGAAGCUAGGGUUAGGGUUGAACCGGGAUGUGCCAUGAAGCUAGGAUUAGGGUUGAACCGGGAUGUACCAUGAAGCUAGGGGUAGGG